AGAAUUUAAUGGGGGAUCAAAUCAAGUCUGGAAGUGUUACAGGAUGGAAGAGUCAGCCUACAGAUGAAAAAACACUGAGAGUGCAUUACCAUUAAGUACAACAGCAAUCCUUUAUAGUUCUGUCACAGCUAGAAACCUCAAAUAAUUCUGCUUCUCUGUCUAAAGAACAACUUGUCCUUUACGUUCAGAGUGUUGGGGAAACUGGGUACUUAAAUGGCCCUAAAGAUGUUUUAAUUUUGCUGCCAUUGCAGAGAUGAACAUCAUACAUGGACUCUUUAGGUCUAAUCUACCAAAAAAAAUUUUAUCCAAUAGGAAAGGAUUUUCAUGUACUGGGAACACAACUAUCAACAAUGCAACAUUGUACAGGUGCUAGUUUAUCAUUCAAGAGCCUUAUACAAUGAUGUUAAUCUGCAAUUUGUAUGUCCUUCCCCAAGCUUCCACCAGAAGUUGAAUCUAUGAGUCUUGUAAGUUACAUGAUCAACAGUUGAUAUGUUUAACAGUGUUGUUUUUCUUUUCUCAAUAUAGGUUAAUAGUAACAUUGGAUCUGAAAAAAUUCUUGGUUGGGGCAAGACACUGAAUAAAUUGUAUUGAUUGGAUGGAUGACAUGACAUUUCUAUACUUAAUUCGGAUUCCCCAGACGGUAUUUGAUAUUAAAAAAAUUGAAGUGCAUAUCUGGGCUCCCUUCUUUUCUGAAGCCCCGUUUCCCCUUGACUCGUAAUA
Molecule: long non-coding RNA, 720 nt
Organism: Daphnia carinata
Lineage: Eukaryota; Metazoa; Arthropoda; Branchiopoda; Diplostraca; Daphniidae
Exons: 3
Source: RefSeq, a predicted model, not a curated record